AGAGUUUGAUCAUGGCUCAGAUUGAACGCUGGCGGCAUGCUUUACACAUGCAAGUCGAACGGCAGCGGGGGCUUCGGCCUGCCGGCGAGUGGCGAACGGGUGAGUAAUACAUCGGAACGUGUCCUUAAGUGGGGAAUAACGCAUCGAAAGAUGUGCUAAUACCGCAUAUCUCUCAGGAGGAAAGCAGGGGAUCGAAAGACCUUGCGCUAAAGGAGCGGCUGAUGUCUGAUUAGCUAGUUGGUGGGGUAAAGGCUUACCAAGGCAACGAUCAGUAGCUGGUCUGAGAGGACGACCAGCCACACUGGGACUGAGACACGGCCCAGACUCCUACGGGAGGCAGCAGUGGGGAAUUUUGGACAAUGGGCGAAAGCCUGAUCCAGCCAUGCCGCGUGAGUGAAGAAGGCCUUCGGGUUGUAAAGCUCUUUUAGUCGGAAAGAAAGAGUCAUAGUAAAUAGCUAUGAUUUAUGACGGUACCGACAGAAAAAGCACCGGCUAACUACGUGCCAGCAGCCGCGGUAAUACGUAGGGUGCGAGCGUUAAUCGGAAUUACUGGGCGUAAAGGGUGCGCAGGCGGCCUUGUAAGUCAGAUGUGAAAGCCCCGGGCUUAACCUGGGAAUUGCGUAUGAAACUACAAAGCUAGAGUGCAGCAGAGGGGAGUGGAAUUCCAUGUGUAGCAGUGAAAUGCGUAGAGAUGUGGAAGAACACCGAUGGCGAAGGCAGCUCCCUGGGU
This 730-nucleotide ribosomal RNA is filed under the name uncultured bacterium. Its description in RNAcentral is "bacterial SSU rRNA". It matches the Rfam family "Bacterial small subunit ribosomal RNA", at positions 8 to 734 of the family's 1533-position model. The record is from RNAcentral.